UCUACGUUCUUCUAGUGAUUCAGCUGGUUAUUGAUACCGGAGUGCCGAGUGCCACAGAAGCCCUGAGAAACCCCGUAGCCUUGUUAGCACGUUGCCCAGCAGCGGUGAGUCUCAUAUGCAAUGUACAGUAUUGUGUUAGCAUCGAUGUUAAUUCCCGCUAGCUUUAUUACUGUUAAGACGGCCUUUUUGUGGGCCAAACGAUUAUCUGUGGGUGGUUUGUUCAUUCACUCAUGUCACUUAAAGAUCUUGUAUGUUAUGUUUGGUACAGAUUAUUAGAUCUAAAUGCCAGUGUGUGUUUAUAAUGCUUGUUAAAGGUAUUCUAUUUUAUUUUUGGUACAGAUUAUUAGAUCUAAAUGCCAGUGUGUGUUUAUAAUGCUUGUUAAAGGUAUUCUAUUUUAUGUUUGGUACAGAUUAUUAGAUGUAAAGACCAGUGUGUGUUUAUAAUGCUUGUUAAAGGUAUUCUAUUUUAUUUUUGGUACAGAUUAUUAGAUGUAAAGACCAGGGUGUGUUCAUAAUGCACUUUAAAGGUGUUUUGUGUUAUUUCAAAGGUGUAUUUACUAUGCAUCUUAAAGAGAUUGAAUUAGUACGAUCACUUUAUUACCGCAUUCCAACUAUUUUAAUUGGUUUGUCAUCGGGUAAUUUUGUAAUUGUAAAACUUUGGAGCUAUAUUGUUGUACAACAUGUUUUUAUUUUUUUUUAGAACUUGAAUCUGAACAGUAGCAAGAGUAUUAUAGUAAAAAGUACUUAUUUUAAGCUACUUCAUUCUGACCUCACCUCUUAGGUCAGGUUUUUCUGUUCGGAUCGGAGUUGUGGACUGCAGACGUGCAGGAGAGUGAACCCUUUUCCAGUACUGGAUGGCGAGCCCAGCCCAAGAAGUCGAACAAACCGGUAGCUUGUAGCCCGACUGGCUACAAACACACUGAACACUGAACGAACACUUGAAGAGCAUUGCUCAGACUAUAA
This is a long non-coding RNA of Melanotaenia boesemani (Boeseman's rainbowfish), 963 nucleotides long. RefSeq lists it as uncharacterized. The transcript is spliced from 3 exons. The record is from RefSeq and is a predicted model, not a curated record. NCBI's taxonomy places the organism in Eukaryota, Metazoa, Chordata, Actinopteri, Atheriniformes, Melanotaeniidae.